AUAUAGACCUGUAGCUUUCACACUCUUCAGUCGAUCAGCCAUGGACAAAGGUUUGCUGCUGGUCCUGUUGUGUCUGCAGGUCGUCCUGCUCACCACAGCCUUCACUUCUGCUGAUGAAGCCGCUCAGCUGAGAGAUGAUCAGCAUCAACCCCAGCCUGUUGAUCCGACGACAAGUGUGCAGCAAGUGAAAGAAAGAGGACAGACGGAGAAGAAACCCCGACUCUGCGGGAAGAGACGAGGAGCAUGUUCUGGGUCAUCACUCUGGCGACACGACAAUAGACGUCCAGACUCAGACGUCUAGAGUCAAGCUCUGCAGGAAGUGCCAUCAGACGUAGAAGAUAGCAAAUGAAUGAAGAUGAUUGUAAUGCUUACAAAAUAAUGCAAAUGCCUUUUUAUCAGAAAUAAAAGAUUUCAAAUCAGA
Molecule: long non-coding RNA, 421 nt
Organism: Acanthochromis polyacanthus (spiny chromis)
Lineage: Eukaryota; Metazoa; Chordata; Actinopteri; Pomacentridae
Exons: 3
Source: RefSeq, a predicted model, not a curated record